CGGUGUUCAACUGGCGUGCCCGCGGGACGUCCUGCCGGUGAGCUCAGCCCGCGAGGGCGGCUCAACUUGAAAUCCCAUCGCGGUGCUCUUCAUUGAGUGUCGAGGUGGGCCGGCACGAUUACUUUUGAACAAAUUAGAGUGCUUAAAGCAGGCUAAAAUUUUGCCUGAAUACUGUGUAUAUGGAAUAAUGGAAUAGGACCUCGGUUCUAUUUUGUUGGUUUUCGGAACCCCGAGGUAAUGAUUAAUAGGAACGGAUGGGGGCAUUCGUAUUGCGACGUUAGAGGUGAAAUUCUUGGAUCGUCGCAAGACGGACUAAAGCGAAAGCAUUUGCCAAAAACGCUUUCAUUGAUCAAGAACGAAAGUUAGAGGUUCGAAGGCGAUCAGAUACCGCCCUAGUUCUAACCAUAAACUAUGCCAGCUAGCGAUCCGCCGACGUCCCUCUGAUGACUCGGCGGGCAGCUUCCGGGAAACCAAAGCUUUUGGGUUCCGGGGGAAGUAUGGUUGCAAAGCUGAAACUUAAAGGAAUUGACGGAAGGGGCACCACCAGGAGUGGAGCCUGCGGCUUAAUUUGACUCAACACGGGAAACCUCACCAGGCCCAGACACUGGAAGGAUUGACAGAUUGAGAGCUCUUUCUUGAUUCAGUGGGUGGUGGUGCAUGGCCGUUCUUAGUCGGUGGAGCGAUUUGUCAGGUUAAUUCCGAUAACGGACGAGACUCUGACCUGAUAACUAGACGCACUUGCGGCAUCUCAAAGGUCCGCCGGCGGCUGGCUUUGCGCCCGUCGUCGCGCGCGAUUUUUACUGCCGGCGUACAAUAAAUUCUUCUUAGAGGGACAAGUGG
This 840-nucleotide ribosomal RNA is filed under the name uncultured eukaryote. RNAcentral's name for it is "SSU rRNA". It matches the Rfam family "Eukaryotic small subunit ribosomal RNA", at positions 635 to 1426 of the family's 1831-position model. The record is from RNAcentral.